Molecule: ribosomal RNA, 254 nt
Filed under: uncultured bacterium
Lineage: Bacteria
Description: partial 16S ribosomal RNA
Rfam family: Bacterial small subunit ribosomal RNA
Source: RNAcentral
UACGUAGGUGGCAAGCGUUGUUCGGAAUUAUUGGGCGUAAAGGGCGCGUAGGCGGUUUGUUAAGUCGGUCGUGAAACCUCCAGGCUCAACCUGGAGACGCCACCCGAUACUGCUAUAGCUUGAGUCCGGUAGGGGAGCGUGGAAUUCCUGGUGUAGCGGUGAAAUGCGCAGAUAUCAGGAGGAACACCAGCGGCGAAGGCGGCGCUCUGGGCCGGUACUGACACUGAGGAGCGAAAGCGUGGGGAGCAAACAGG